RNAcentral lists this ribosomal RNA (253 nucleotides) under uncultured bacterium. RNAcentral's name for it is "partial 16S ribosomal RNA". It matches the Rfam family "Bacterial small subunit ribosomal RNA", at positions 524 to 776 of the family's 1533-position model. The record is from RNAcentral.
GACGGAGGAUGCAAGCGUUAUCCGGAAUGAUUGGGCGGAAAGCGUCCGCAGGUGGCAGUUCAAGUCUGCUGUCAAAGACCGGGGCUUAACUUCGGAAAGGCAGUGGAAACUGAACAGCUAGAGUAUGGUAGGGGCAGAGGGAAUUCCUGGUGUAGCGGUGAAAUGCGUAGAGAUCAGGAAGAACAUCGGUGGCGAAGGCGCUCUGCUGGACCAUAACUGACACUCAGGGACGAAAGCUAGGGGAGCGAAUGGG